UUAUUUUAUUGCUGUCUUUCAAUGUUCUUCUGACGAAACUUUCACUAACCCUAAUUCUUCAAUCUUGGUGAGAGCCUCGAAUUGUCUGGGUGAAUACCAAGAGAGGUUUGAUUCUGGGGGAGUUUUGAUAAAGAAGCUACAUAUUGCCUCUAACAGAUUAAGGAUUUCAAUAUGACCACAACUAUUGCUCAAAAUUGCAUUGCUAUCAGGUGCUGCGUGGUGCAGGUAAAGGAAAAAGUAAGAUGGAUCAACCAUGAGUUAAAGAGCGCUGAGGGCGAGGUAUACAUUGUCAGCUUCAUCCGCCACGACCGAAGGAUUGUACUGAGAAUGACUUUUGCUUUUAUUUAACUUUUGAAAGUUGUAAAUUUGUCCUUUAAAACCCUGUGUUUUGGGAUCCCACGUAUUGAACAUAUUUAAAUGAAAAGUUAUUCGUUUGUGACCAAAAUCUUUUAACUUUAGUUUGAUUGUGACUUUAAUGUCACAUUUUCAACUAAACGACUUGAUUAGCAAGUCUUGUACAAUUAUAAACACAGUGUAACAGUCUUGGUUAUCUAGGGCGUUACACACCCCAUAUCUGUGUUGUCUUCUCUGGGACAUUCAAUACCCCUUCUA
Molecule: long non-coding RNA, 612 nt
Organism: Humulus lupulus (European hop)
Lineage: Eukaryota; Viridiplantae; Streptophyta; Magnoliopsida; Rosales; Cannabaceae
Exons: 3
Source: RefSeq, a predicted model, not a curated record